UACAGAGGUCUCAAGCGUUGUUCGGAUUCAUUGGGCGUAAAGGGUGCGUAGGUGGCGCGCUAAGUCAGGUGUGAAAUCUCGGGGCUUAACUCCGAAACUGCAUUUGAUACUGGCGUGCUUGAGGACUGGAGAGGAGACUGGAAUUCAUGGUGUAGCAGUGAAAUGCGUAGAGAUCAGGAGGAAGACCAGUGGCGAAGGCGGGUCUCUGGACAGUUCCUGACACUGAGGCACGAAGGCCAGGGGAGCAAACGGG
RNAcentral lists this ribosomal RNA (253 nucleotides) under uncultured bacterium. RNAcentral's name for it is "partial 16S ribosomal RNA". It matches the Rfam family "Bacterial small subunit ribosomal RNA", at positions 524 to 776 of the family's 1533-position model. The record is from RNAcentral.